GUUUUAGUGUCUGAGCUGUAAUGAGCUGAUUGGGUUCAUCUGAGGGAUCAUUGUUCAUUUAUUUUUCUGGCUGGAGUUCCACAAAACUUAAAGUUUAUGUGACAUUUUCAGGAUUCCACCCAGCUUCCUUUGGAUCCUGCAGACGGCGUUCACUCUUCCUCCUUACAGACUCACACAGACGACUCCCACCCCCACAGCCCCACAACUCACAGAGCGGCGGAGGACCCCCCACGACUCACAGAGCGGCGGAGGGGGCCCCUGUGAUUCAUAGAGCGGCAGAGAAUGCCCCACGACGCCAGGAGGGGCGGAGGUCGCCGCACGACUCAUAGAGCAGCAAAGAACCCCCUGCGACACCAGGAUCAGCGGUGGAUGCCCCGCGACUCAUAAAGCGGCAGAGGAUGCCCUGUGAUUCAUAGAGCGGCGAAAGAUGCCCCGCGAGGCCAGGAGCAGCGGAGGACGCCCCGCGACUCAUAGAGCGGCGGAGGACGCCCCACAACGCCAGGAGGGGCGGAGGUCACCGCGCGACUCAUAAAGCAAGCAAAGAACCCCCCGCGACGCCAGGAGCAGCGGAGGAUGCCCCGCGACUCAUAAAGCGGCGGAGGGCGCCCCACCCCCUUUUUUGCAUUUUUCAAAUCUUGGCUGAGAGUGGAGUCAUCCUCCAACUGUCCCGUUUAGUUACCCUUUAAAUCCUCUUUUUAUGUUAGUAAAGCAGCAGGAAGUAAACUGAAUGUGUGGAACAUUUAAUCAUAACUGACUUUUUUUAGCUUUGAGAUUUUAAAUUUCUUUUUUGUAGUCCAAGCAGAAAAAAAUCUUUCAAACUGUCAGGUUUUGUGUUUC
Oryzias melastigma (Indian medaka) is the source of this 837-nucleotide long non-coding RNA. RefSeq lists it as uncharacterized. The transcript has 3 exons. The record is from RefSeq and is a predicted model, not a curated record. NCBI's taxonomy places the organism in Eukaryota, Metazoa, Chordata, Actinopteri, Beloniformes, Adrianichthyidae.